RNAcentral lists this transfer RNA (73 nucleotides) under Candidatus Dadabacteria bacterium. Its description in RNAcentral is "tRNA-Thr". It matches the Rfam family "tRNA". From Rfam's summary of the family: Transfer RNA (tRNA) molecules are approximately 80 nucleotides in length. Their secondary structure includes four short double-helical elements and three loops (D, anti-codon, and T loops). The record is from RNAcentral. Lineage: Bacteria; Pseudomonadati; Thermodesulfobacteriota; Candidatus Dadabacteria.
GCUGGCAUAGCUCAACUGGUAGAGCAACUGAUUUGUAAUCAGUAGGUUGUGGGUUCAAGUCCCUCUGCCAGCU